RNAcentral lists this ribosomal RNA (468 nucleotides) under uncultured bacterium. Its description in RNAcentral is "partial 16S ribosomal RNA". It matches the Rfam family "Bacterial small subunit ribosomal RNA", at positions 28 to 507 of the family's 1533-position model. The record is from RNAcentral.
GACGAACGCUGGCGGCGUGCUUAACACAUGCAAGUCGAACGGAAAGGCCCUGCUUUUGUGGGGUGCUCGAGUGGCGAACGGGUGAGUAACACGUGAGUAACCUGCCCUUGACUUUGGGAUAACUUCAGGAAACUGGGGCUAAUACCGGAUAGGAGCUCCUGCUGCAUGGUGGGGGUUGGAAAGUUUCGGCGGUUGGGGAUGGACUCGCGGCUUAUCAGCUUGUUGGUGGGGUAGUGGCUUACCAAGGCUUUGACGGGUAGCCGGCCUGAGAGGGUGACCGGCCACAUUGGGACUAAGGUACGGCCCAGACGGCUAUGGGGCGCAGCAGUGGGGAAUAUUGCGCAAUGGGCGGAAGCCUGAUGCAGCAACGCCGCGUGCGGGAUGACGGCCUUCGGGUUGUAAACCGCUUUCGCCUGUGACGAAGCGUGAGUGACGGUAAUGGGUAAAGAAGCACCGGCUAACUACGUG